CGGCGGGUGAGGGGCGGAAAUUCGGGGCGCUUUUGAGGGAUGGCACAGAAGGAGAACGUGGCCCCCAGCCUGACCAAGAGUUUGGUCCCUCCCCCCCUGCGGGUGCCCUGCAAGGACCCCCCGGGCUCGGAGCCCCCCGGGAAGGCUCUGCCAGGAGCCGGGCGGGUGCCCCUGGAGCCCAGCGCCGUGCCACCC
Long non-coding RNA from Vidua chalybeata, 195 nucleotides. RefSeq lists it as uncharacterized. The transcript is spliced from 4 exons. Lineage: Eukaryota; Metazoa; Chordata; Aves; Passeriformes; Viduidae. The record is from RefSeq and is a predicted model, not a curated record.